CAUGCCAAUGGCACUGCCCGGUAGCUAAAUGCGGAAGAGAUAAGUGCUGAAAGCAUCUAAGCACGAAACUUGCCCCGAGAUGAGUUCUCCCUGAGACUUUAGGUCUCCUGAAGGAACGUUGAAGACGACGACGUUGAUAGGCCGGGUGUGUAAGCGCAGCGAUGCGUUGAGCUAACCGGUACUAAUGAACCGUGAGGCUUAACCUUACAACGCCGAAG
RNAcentral lists this ribosomal RNA (218 nucleotides) under Salmonella enterica. Its description in RNAcentral is "partial 23S ribosomal RNA". It matches the Rfam family "Bacterial large subunit ribosomal RNA", at positions 2725 to 2925 of the family's 2925-position model. Lineage: Bacteria; Pseudomonadati; Pseudomonadota; Gammaproteobacteria; Enterobacterales; Enterobacteriaceae. The record is from RNAcentral.